AUGAUAGGAUGUGCUACACAGCUGGUGAUACUGCAGAGAGAGAUCAUUUUCCAUUUUCAGCUUGGGCGAAUGAGUAUACGCACAGAAGAGAAAAACCGUGCCAUCAGCUGCCAAGGGCAUUUCUGUGAAAUCCUUGAUAGAGGAGAGAAGGAGAGAGUCGUGAUGGAGGAAGCACAGAAGAGGAGGACGGAGAAAAGGGGGGCACCAUGUCAUGGGACCAAUUCCCAGGGCUGAGUUUGCAAGCCCUGGAAUUGGAGCCAUAACAUCAACACUCCUGAAUGUCUCAUGAAAACACCUGGCAGCAGAGCAUGGGAACUCGGGGGUGAAAAUCAUAACAAUUAUAAUGAGUAGUUUGUGUGGGAAUAGUAGAAAUGUGAUACAGGGGGUGGGGUUUGGUGAUGAUAUUUACGUGUGAUGUUACGUUGCAACCAAGGUGAUAAAAUUGCUUGUAUGUAAACAUUAUGUCAUUCUCGACUUUUUCCAAGUCGUGUGUUCUUCAAUAAAGAUUGGAUUUUGAUAGCAGCUGUCUUUGAUCUGCGUUCAUGCUGGUCGUUUGAAGUGAGUGCGACAGGUAUUCUCAGUCUGGAGUGGGUGAACUACAAUUCCCAGAAUCGUGGGUAAUCCUCCCCAAGUCUGCCAGUAUCAAAGUUGGCCAUUUUGGGUCUGUGUACCAAGUGUGGUCCAGAUCUGUCAUUGGCUGGUCAUUGCCUGGCUGCAGUGCUCUCUGGAUGGAGGUGAACUACUACAACUCCCAGAUUUCUGGGGCAAUUGUCCCGAAACAUCUGUCAGUAUCCACAGCAGGCAAUAUUGAGUCUGUGUGACAAGUUUGGAUGCAGGUGAACUACAAUUCCCAAAAUAAAGGCCCAUUCCUACAAACCCCUGCAAUAUGUUCAGUUGGUCACGAGGCUUCUCUGUGCGAAGUUUGGUCCAGGUCCAUUGUCGGUGGGGGCCACUGUUUCUCUGGAUGCAGGUGAACUAAAACUCCCUUUCCCCCUAACUUGUCCAAUAUGUUCUAUUGCAGGAAAACUAUAAAUCCCAGUACUGACUACUCCCAAAUGUCCAGGCCAAUUCCCCUCCAAACCCACCAGUAUUCGAAUCUGGGCACAUUGGGUACGCAUGGCAAGUUUGGUCCAGACCCAUCAUUGUUUGGGUUCAUAGUGUUCUGGGUGUAGGUGAACUACAACUCCUCUAAAUUCUCCAGUAGGAGUCACAGUGCUCUGACUUGAUGCAAGGUGAACUACAAUUUCCAUCAUGUGGAGUCAGUCGCCCAAACUCCCCCUCUGCUGUGUUUGUUCUGCAGACAGAUUUGAAAGGGAAGAGCAGUAGGCGGGAUUAUGCAAAUUCCACACCAUUGGAGAACCCUGGGAUGCCUGCCUGUGGUGGAGGAAAAUGCAAAAUCUAGGAUGAAAUUGUCCCCAAAUGAAAGCAUUCCUUGGGUGGUGGGUCGUAGUGUUUGGAAAGGAGAUUGGCAGGGUUGGGCUACAUGUUCAUAGAGCUUGCUGUAAUUGCAAUGUCAGUGGAAAAGAGUGAUUUGGGGGCUCCUCAGCACUGGGAACUACAGCCUGUUUGUGGAGGCUGGAGGCUGUCUGUGUGAGCAGACACCUGUGCCAUAGACAUACAUACAGGUUUUCACAUUUAUUAUGGAUAUAUAGAUAUAGAUUUUAUGUCUGACCUUUUUCUCAGAAUCCAAAUCACAUUGGAUUCAACUAUCUACAUCCACAUAGAAUUAUCUAAAGAGGAAUUUUAGAAAAAACAAAAUAAUAAAAAUAUACACAAAUAUUGCGUUGGGGAAUAGAAAUAUUCUGAAAGAGUUUUAUUAGUGGCAAAUAAGAAAUGUGUAGCAAAAAUAAAGGACAGCCUACUUUUUUGAUCAUGGCAAAUAAUUCAAAUAAGCACCUCACAAGGAUGAGCAAGUUUCUAAGAUACAGGCUGUGCUGGGUUAAAUUUCAAGACAUGACAGGGUUUGGAAAUAAGCAACUUGGGGUUUUGAAAAACGAGAGGGGAAGACAAAGAAAUAGUUUUUUAUAAGAUUGGGAACAAUAAAUAACUUUUCCUAAAUCAAAGAAAGCAGAAAACAAGGAGAUAAGUGAGGGAGAUUUAUCAGUGAAAGAGGACUAGGCAGAGAUUUACAAAUGUUUUAGCAAGAAGCCUCUUAGAAAGAGACAAUAACUUUCUCUUCAAGAGUCAGAGCUCUUUGUCCAAGAUGGAAGUAGCAAGUGCACCCAUUCCCAGUAUGUCUUCUAGUUGAAGAUGGAAUCUCCAAAGGAGAUUGUCCCAGGAGGAGGUGCUUUUAGUGUCUGGUAUCUUUUUAUGUGGGUUGUGAGGUAUUCAAAAACCCACAUACACAACAAAAAAGAACAUUAAGUUUGUUCAGGCUUACAAAUUUGCCAGUCUUCAACGUUCUCAGGAUAUUGCAUCACUUUGUAACUAAGCCCCCAUCUACAUUGCCA
Anolis carolinensis (green anole) is the source of this 2450-nucleotide long non-coding RNA. The record is from Ensembl. NCBI's taxonomy places the organism in Eukaryota, Metazoa, Chordata, Lepidosauria, Squamata, Anolidae.